GACGAACGCUGGCGGCGUGCUUAACACAUGCAAGUCGAACGAUGAACCCGGAGCUUGCUCCGGCGGAUUAGUGGCGAACGGGUGAGUAACACGUGAGUAACCUGCCCUUGACUCUGGGAUAACUGCGGGAAACUGUAGCUAAUACCGGAUACGACCCUCGGCGGCAUCGCCAGGGGGUGGAAAGAAUUUCGGUCAAGGAUGGACUCGCGGCCUAUCAGCUAGUUGGUGAGGUAACGGCUCACCAAGGCGACGACGGGGAGCCGGCCUGGGAGGGAGGCCGGCCAAACGGGGACUGUGACAGGGCCCAGACUCCGACGGUAAGCAGCAGUGUGGAAGAGUGUACACAGUGCGCAAGCCUGAUGCAGCAACGCCGCGGUAGGAAUGACGGCCUUCGGGUUGUAAACCUCUUUUAGUAUGGAAGAAGCGAAAGUGACGGUACCUGCAGAAAAAGCACCGGCUAACUACGUGCCAGCCGCCGCGGUAA
This 484-nucleotide ribosomal RNA is filed under the name uncultured bacterium. RNAcentral describes it as "partial 16S ribosomal RNA". It matches the Rfam family "Bacterial small subunit ribosomal RNA", at positions 28 to 523 of the family's 1533-position model. The record is from RNAcentral.